AUUGAACGCUGGCGGUAUGCUUAACACAUGCAAGUCGAACGGUAGCAGGUCUAGCUUGCUAGAUGCUGACGAGUGGCGGACGGGUGAGUAACGCGUAGGAAUCUGCCUUAUUGUGGGGGAUAACCUGGGGAAACUCAGGCUAAUACCGCAUGAGCCCUAAGGGGGAAAGCAGGGGAUCGCAAGACCUUGCGCUGAUUGAGCGGCCGAUAUCAGAUUAGCUAGUUGGUGAGGUAAAGGCUCACCAAGGCGACGAUCUGUAGCGGGUCUGAGAGGAUGAUCCGCCACACUGGAACUGAGACACGGUCCAGACUCCUACGGGAGGCAGCAGUGGGGAAUUUUGGACAAUGGGCGCAAGCCUGAUCCAGCCAUGCCGCGUGAGUGAAGAAGGCCUUCGGGUUGUAAAGCUCUUUCAGCCGGGAAGAAAACGCAUGGGUUAAUACCCUGUGUGGAUGACGGUACCGGAAUAAGAAGCACCGGCUAACUACGUG
RNAcentral lists this ribosomal RNA (488 nucleotides) under uncultured bacterium. RNAcentral describes it as "bacterial SSU rRNA". It matches the Rfam family "Bacterial small subunit ribosomal RNA", at positions 30 to 507 of the family's 1533-position model. The record is from RNAcentral.